RNAcentral lists this ribosomal RNA (188 nucleotides) under uncultured eukaryote. Its description in RNAcentral is "partial 18S ribosomal RNA". It matches the Rfam family "Eukaryotic small subunit ribosomal RNA", at positions 1299 to 1458 of the family's 1831-position model. The record is from RNAcentral.
UGGUGGAGUGAUUUGUUUGGUUGAUUCCGUGAACGAACGAGAUCUCACCCUCUAAAUAGGGUGUGGAUCGCCUUCAGUAAGCACCGGGCGACACCCCUUCCGGGGUUCGUUCCGGGGUUUACUAGAUGCCACACGCCUUCUUAGAGGAACAUCGCAUGUUUGGAGUGCGAUGGAGCGAGCCAAUAGCA